Molecule: ribosomal RNA, 490 nt
Filed under: uncultured bacterium
Lineage: Bacteria
Description: partial 16S ribosomal RNA
Rfam family: Bacterial small subunit ribosomal RNA
Source: RNAcentral
AGUGAACGCUGACGGUAGGCCUAACACAUGCAAGUCGAACGGCAGCACAGGAGAGCUUGCUCUCUGGGUGGCGAGUGGCGGACGGGUGAGGAAUACAUCGGAAUCUACCUUUUCGUGGGGGAUAACGUAGGGAAACUUACGCUAAUACCGCAUACGACCUACGGGUGAAAGUGGGGGACCGCAAGGCCUCACGCGAUUAGAUGAGCCGAUGUCCGAUUAGCUAGUUGGCGGGGUAAUGGCCCACCAAGGCGACGAUCGGUAGCUGGUCUGAGAGGAUGAUCAGCCACACUGGAACUGAGACACGGUCCAGACUCCUACGGGAGGCAGCAGUGGGGAAUAUUGGACAAUGGGCGCAAGCCUGAUCCAGCCAUACCGCGUGGGUGAAGAAGGCCUUCGGGUUGUAAAGCCCUUUUGUUGGGAAAGAAAUCCUGUCGAUUAAUACUCGGUGGGGAUGACGGUACCCAAAGAAUAAGCACCGGCUAACUUCGUG